Molecule: ribosomal RNA, 498 nt
Filed under: uncultured bacterium
Lineage: Bacteria
Description: partial 16S ribosomal RNA
Rfam family: Bacterial small subunit ribosomal RNA
Source: RNAcentral
AUUGAACGCUGGCGGCAUGCCUUACACAUGCAAGUCUAACGGUAACAGGCCGCAAGGUGCUAACGAGUGGCGAACGGGUGAGUAAUGCAUCGGAACGUGCCCAGUCGUGGGGGAUAACGCAGCGAAAGUUGCGCUAAUACCGCAUACGAUCUAUGGAUGAAAGCGGGGGACCGUAAGGCCUCGCGCGAUUGGAGCGGCCGAUGUCAGGUUAGGUAGUUGGUGGGGUAAAGGCUCACCAAGCCGACGAUCUGUAGCUGGUCUGAGAGGACGACACGCCACACUGGGACUGAGACACGGCCCAGACUCCUACUGGAGGCAGCAGGGGGGAAUUUUGGACAAUGGGCGCAAGCCUGAUCCAGCAAUGCCGCGUGCAGGAAGAAGGCCUUCGGGUUGUAAACUGCUUUUGUACGGAACGAAACGGUCCUGGUUAAUACCCGGGGCUAAUGACGGUACCGUAAGAAUAAGCACCGGCUAACUACGUGCCAGCAGCCGCGGUAA